This 429-nucleotide ribosomal RNA is filed under the name Gemmatimonadota bacterium. RNAcentral's name for it is "Gemmatimonadetes bacterium partial 16S ribosomal RNA". It matches the Rfam family "Bacterial small subunit ribosomal RNA", at positions 355 to 776 of the family's 1533-position model. Lineage: Bacteria; Pseudomonadati; Gemmatimonadota. The record is from RNAcentral.
UAGGGAAUCUUCGGCAAUGGACGAAAGUCUGACCGAGCAACGCCGCGUGAGUGAAGAAGGUUUUCGGAUCGUAAAACUCUGUUGUUAGAGAAGAACAAGGACGUUAGUAACUGAACGUCCCCUGACGGUAUCUAACCAGAAAGCCACGGCUAACUACGUGCCAGCAGCCGCGGUAAUACGUAGGUGGCAAGCGUUGUCCGGAUAUAUUGGGCGUAAAGCGAGCGCAGGCGGUUUCUUAAGUCUGAUGUGAAAGCCCCCGGCUCAACCGGGGAGGGUCAUUGGAAACUGGGAGACUUGAGUGCAGAAGAGGAGAGUGGAAUUCCAUGUGUAGCGGUGAAAUGCGUAGAUAUAUGGAGGAACACCAGUGGCGAAGGCGGCUCUCUGGUCUGUAACUGACGCUGAGGCUCGAAAGCGUGGGGAGCAAACAGG